GGAAACACAUUAACUCUUAUCCUUGCAACGGAAAUUCCAAUUAUUUACGUACACCGGCAUAUUGCAUCGCUAAAAAAAUAUAUAAAGUGCAUAAUAACUCGAAAAAUACGAUUUUCGACUUAUUAACCUCCGGAAUAUGCGGAAUUUCAUCCUUGAUGGUUUUGUACGCUCGGAUUUUUUUCGUUUAUUUAAUAUUAAAGACAGUACGAGCAGCUAAAAUGUCUUUAUUUUUACACGAUAUUUUUCCGCCCGGAAUAUAAUCACAUCUAAAAAGUGACAAUUUCCCGCGGGAAAAAUUAUAGAACAUUAAAACAUUAAAAGUCGAUUUCCUGACAUUUUCGUAUUUUUCUUUGCGCCAUUAAUGUUUAUUCUUUCGGGGUCGCGGUAUACGAUUAAAAAAAAAAAAAAAACAUGCCCGUAACGCAAUAAAAAACGGGAAAAUUAACGAAAUGUAUCAUUUCCAAAUCGUAUGAUAUUACGGCUUUUCAAAAUGCGCUGUACAACCGGACUCCGUUCAGAAUCGUUUUUCGUCGGCAAAAAUUAAUUUCCUCUCCAUCUUCCCGACUUCUCACCUGUAUAACUGCAGCAGCCCGCCCAUCGUGCGAAGUCCGUUUAUUUUGCUUUUGAAUAUGUUUCUAUGAGUGAUUAUUUCAACGCCUACAAAAACCGGCUUAUCGAGCUUUUCAAUGGCUUAUAACGAAGUUUUUUCAUCGAUCAUUUCGUAGACGGGGGAAAAUAAAACCAAACCAAACAAACUUCGGUUUUCCGUGUCUUCUCGACUAUUAUAAUCCAUCGUAUUCGCGUACUUUGUGCUAAAUUCAAUGUUGUGCAAUAGUCGA
Cinara cedri is the source of this 839-nucleotide non-coding RNA. The record is from the annotation of a GenBank genome assembly. Lineage: Eukaryota; Metazoa; Arthropoda; Insecta; Hemiptera; Aphididae.